UUCAUGAAGCCGGAAUUGCUAGUAAUGGCAGGUCAGCAUACUGCCGUGAAUACGUUCCCGGGCCUUGUACACACCGCCCGUCACACCAUGAGAGUUGGGGAUACCCGAAGCCUGUGAGCUAACAUUAUGAGGCAGCAGUCGAAGGUAGAAUCAAUGAUUGGGGUGAAGUCGUAACAAGGUAGC
This 183-nucleotide ribosomal RNA is filed under the name uncultured bacterium. Its description in RNAcentral is "partial 16S ribosomal RNA". It matches the Rfam family "Bacterial small subunit ribosomal RNA", at positions 1317 to 1500 of the family's 1533-position model. The record is from RNAcentral.